CGCGGGUCUUUGAGACACUGGCCAGCGCCAUUCUGGCUUUGGCAACAUCAAGAGUGACGAAAACAGAGUGGCCGGAGUUCCUGGCCCCCACGCAGUGUGGACAGAGCUACUCUGCUCCUCCACAGCCCACAGGGGACUGGAGCACGGGCCCAGAUGUGGAGGACCCACUCUUAUGAAUUCACCAGAGACGUCACAGCAAUAUGGCCAUCAUCUGUCAACCAGGAAGCAGCCUCACAUGCCAGGCAAGCACUUUACUCUGGAGCUAUACCCCCAGCCCA
RNAcentral lists this long non-coding RNA (278 nucleotides) under Fukomys damarensis (Damara mole-rat). RNAcentral describes it as "lncRNA (ENSFDAG00000033201.1)". The record is from RNAcentral. Lineage: Eukaryota; Metazoa; Chordata; Mammalia; Rodentia; Bathyergidae.